CCUGUUUUCAGUUAUGAGUUUCUAUGUCUAACGUUUCACCGUUUAUUUUAUUUUAUUUUUUUAUAAUUAAUAUUUUUAUUGUUAUUAGAUGAUAAAAUAUAAAUAGUACUUGAUACAUGACUUACUACUUUUUAGAUUUUUUUUAUAAAUUUUUAAGUAGGACGAACAGACAAAUAUUUGACACUAAAAUGAGAUGGAGUACUGAGU
RNAcentral lists this microRNA precursor (207 nucleotides) under Oryza nivara. RNAcentral describes it as "MIR812 microRNA precursor family". It matches the Rfam family "MIR812 microRNA precursor family". Lineage: Eukaryota; Viridiplantae; Streptophyta; Magnoliopsida; Poales; Poaceae. The record is from Rfam by way of RNAcentral.